This 116-nucleotide ribosomal RNA is filed under the name Pectobacterium carotovorum subsp. carotovorum ICMP 5702. The record is from RNAcentral. Lineage: Bacteria; Pseudomonadati; Pseudomonadota; Gammaproteobacteria; Enterobacterales; Pectobacteriaceae.
GUAGGCGGCGAUAGCGCGGUGGUCCCACCUGACCCCAUGCCGAACUCAGAAGUGAAACGCCGUAGCGCCGAUGGUAGUGUGGGGCUUCCCCAUGUGAGAGUAGGGAACUGCCAGGC